GGUCAUCAACUAACUUCUUCAAAAGUGGUAUAAUAUUCGCUUAGCAAUCAUUCCUCUGAAUGAGAAUAAUGUGAAUGGUCCUGGGUUCGAUUCCCAGUGCGUCCA
Molecule: non-coding RNA, 105 nt
Organism: Cadophora gregata
Lineage: Eukaryota; Fungi; Ascomycota; Leotiomycetes; Helotiales; Ploettnerulaceae
Source: the annotation of a RefSeq genome assembly